Molecule: ribosomal RNA, 491 nt
Filed under: uncultured bacterium
Lineage: Bacteria
Description: partial 16S ribosomal RNA
Rfam family: Bacterial small subunit ribosomal RNA
Source: RNAcentral
GAUGAACGCUGGCUACAGGCUUAACACAUGCAAGUCGAGGGGAAACGCCGGGGAAGCUUGCUUCCCCGGGCGUCGACCGGCGCACGGGUGAGUAACGCGUAUCCAACCUGCCUCUGACUGAGGGAUAACCCGUCGAAAGUCGGCCUACUACCUCAUGUCUUCGUCUGCGGGCAUCCAACGACGAUUAAAGCUUUCAUUGGUCAGGGGUUGGGAUGCGUCUGAUUAGCUUGUUGGCGGGGUAACGGCCCACCAAGGCUACGAUCAGUAGGCGUUCUGAGAGGCAGGCCCCCCGCAUCGGAACUGAGAUACGGACCAAACUGCUACGGGACGCAGCGGUGAGGAAUACUAGGCAAGGGGCGGGAGCCGGAACCAGCCAAGUAGCGUGCAGGAUGACGGCGAUAUGGGUUGUAAGCUGCUUUUAUGCGGGGAUAAAGUGAGGGACGGGUCCUUCAUUGCAGGUACCGAAUGAAUAAGGACCGGCUAAUUCCGUG